Molecule: non-coding RNA, 295 nt
Organism: Pelobates cultripes (western spadefoot toad)
Lineage: Eukaryota; Metazoa; Chordata; Amphibia; Anura; Pelobatidae
Source: the annotation of a GenBank genome assembly
UGGAACUCUGUCAGGCUAAAAGCAGUCAGCUGAAACUCUCAGCCAAUCACAGCUGUCCAUUGCUGCUCAGGCUAAUACUUCCUUAUUAGCCAAAGCAGCACAGAGGGGAUGGAUUGCCUGGGAUUCUUGUUUAGCAUUAAAACUUUAAAAACUGUUUAAUGCUGAAAGAAGUGAUGGUACCAGAGGACUCCAGACACUAUAACCAGUUUAAUGAGAUGAAGACGAUACAGUGCCUACGGUGUCCCUUUAAGUCCCUAUACAUUGGUUUUAAAUGCUAAACUCACUUUGAAUUCAC